This 468-nucleotide ribosomal RNA is filed under the name uncultured bacterium. Its description in RNAcentral is "partial 16S ribosomal RNA". It matches the Rfam family "Bacterial small subunit ribosomal RNA", at positions 28 to 523 of the family's 1533-position model. The record is from RNAcentral.
GAUGAACGCUGGCGGCGUGCCUAACACAUGCAAGUCGAGCGAUUCUCUUCGGAGAAGAGCGGCGGACGGGUGAGUAACGCGUGGGUAACCUGCCCUGUACACACGGAUAACAUACCGAAAGGUAUGCUAAUACGAGAUAAUAUGCUUUUAUCGCAUGGUAGAAGUAUCAAAGCUUUUGCGGGACAGGUUGGACCCGCGUCUGAUUAACUAGUUGGUAAGGUAAGGGCUUACCAAGGCGACGAUCAGUAGCCGACCUGAAAGGAUGAACAGACACAGUAGAACGGAGACACGGUCCAAACCCCUAGGGGAGGCAGCAGUGGGGAAUAUUGGACAAUGGGCGAAAGCCUGAUGCAGCAACGCCGCGUGAGCGAUGAAGGCCUUCGGGUCGUAAAGCUCUGUCCUCAAGGAAGAUAAUGACGGUACUUGAGGAGGAAGCCCCGGCUAACUACGUGCCAGCCGCCGCCGUAA